Molecule: ribosomal RNA, 484 nt
Filed under: uncultured bacterium
Lineage: Bacteria
Description: partial 16S ribosomal RNA
Rfam family: Bacterial small subunit ribosomal RNA
Source: RNAcentral
AUUGAACGCUAGCGGGAUGCUUUACACAUGCAAGUCGAACGGCAGCGCGGACUUCGGUCUGGCGGCGAGUGGCGAACGGGUGAGUAAUGUAUCUGAACGUGCCCAGUAGCGGGGGAUAAGUACGCGAAAGCGUAGCUUAUACCGCAUACGCCCUACGGUGGAAAUCAGGUGAUCGUAAGACCGUUCACUAUUUUAGCGGGCUAUAUCGGAUUAGCGAGUUGGUGAGGUCACGGGUCACCAAGGCUAAGAAGCGUAGCUGGUAUGAAGGGACGGCUAGACACAUUGGGACUGAGACACGGCCCAGACUCCUACGCGAAGACGCAGCGGGGACUUUUGGACGAUGGAGGAAAGCGUAAUCCAGCACUCCCGGCUGUGGGCUGAAGGCCUUAGGGUUGUAAAGCGAUUUUGGCCGGAGAGAAACGUAGCGCGCUAACACCCCGUGGAAAUGACGGUACCUGCAGAAUAAGCUCCGGCUAACUACGUG